This 253-nucleotide ribosomal RNA is filed under the name uncultured bacterium. RNAcentral's name for it is "partial 16S ribosomal RNA". It matches the Rfam family "Bacterial small subunit ribosomal RNA", at positions 524 to 776 of the family's 1533-position model. The record is from RNAcentral.
UACGUAGGGUGCAAGCGUUAAUCGGAAUUAUUGGGCGUAAAGCGCGUGUAGGCGGCUUUGCAAGUCGGGUGUGAAAGCCCUCAGCUCAACUGAGGAAGUGCGCCCGAAACUGCAGAGCUUGAGUGCCGGAGAGGGUGGCGGAAUUCCCCAAGUAGAGGUGAAAUUCGUAGAUAUGGGGAGGAACACCGGUGGCGAAGGCGGCCACCUGGACGGUAACUGACGCUGAGACGCGAAAGCGUGGGGAGCAAACAGG